This 469-nucleotide ribosomal RNA is filed under the name uncultured Thiobacillus sp. RNAcentral describes it as "bacterial SSU rRNA". It matches the Rfam family "Bacterial small subunit ribosomal RNA", at positions 908 to 1382 of the family's 1533-position model. Lineage: Bacteria; Pseudomonadati; Pseudomonadota; Betaproteobacteria; Nitrosomonadales; Thiobacillaceae. The record is from RNAcentral.
AAAUUGACGGGGACCCGCACAAGCGUGGAUGAUGUGGAUUAAUUCGAUGCAACGCGAAGAACCUUACUACCCUUGACAUGUCCGGAACUUGCCAGAGAUGGCUUGGUGCCCGAAAGGGAAUCGGAACACAGGUGCUGCAUGGCUGUCGUCAGCUCGUGUCGUGAGAUGUUGGGUUAAGUCCCGCAACGAGCGCAACCCUUAUCAUUAGUUGCUACGCAAGGGCACUCUAAUGAGACUGCCGGUGACAAACCGGAGGAAGGUGGGGAUGACGUCAAGUCCUCAUGGCCCUUAUGGGUAGGGCUUCACACGUCAUACAAUGGUCGGUACAGAGGGUUGCCAAGCCGCGAGGCGGAGCCAAUCCCACAAAGCCGAUCGUAGUCCGGAUUGUUCUCUGCAACUCGAGAGCAUGAAGUCGGAAUCGCUAGUAAUCGCAGGUCAGCAUACUGCGGUGAAUACGUUCCCGGGUCUU